RNAcentral lists this long non-coding RNA (1041 nucleotides) under Volvox carteri. Its description in RNAcentral is "long non-coding RNA (VCAR_LNC004250)". The record is from RNAcentral. Lineage: Eukaryota; Viridiplantae; Chlorophyta; Chlorophyceae; Chlamydomonadales; Volvocaceae.
GGGCCGCAGGGGAGGAUGGCGUUAGGCUAGGGGGCCGCAGGGGAGGACGGCGUUCGGCUGGGGGGCCGCAGGGGAGGGCGGCGUUAGGCUAGGGGGCCGCAGGGGAGGACAGCAUUAGGCUAGGGGGCCGCAGGGGAGGGCGGCGUUAGACUAGGGGGCCGCAGGGGAGGACGGCGUUAGGCUAGGGGGGCCGCAGGGGAGGACGGCGUUGGGCUAGGGGGCCGCAGGGGAGGACGGCGUUAGGCUAGGGGGCCGCAGGGGAGGACGGCAUUGGGCUAGGGGGGCCGUAAGGGAGGACGGUGUUGGGCUGGGGGGCCGCAGGGGAGGACAGCGUUGGGCUAGGCGGGGCCGCAGGGGAAGGUGGCAUUGGGCUAGGGGGGCCGCAGGGGAGGACGGCGUUGGGCUAGGGGGGCCGCAGGGGAGGACGGCGUUAGGCUAGGGGGCCGCAGGGGAGGACGGCGUUAGGCUAGGCGGCCGCAGGGGAGGACAGCGUUGGGCUGGGGGGCCGCAGGGGAGGACGGUGUUGGGCUGGGGGGCCGCAGGGGAGUACGGCGUUGGGCUGGGGGGCCGCAGGGGAGGAUGGCGUUAGGCUAGGGGGCCGCAGGGGGAGGACGGUGUUAGGCUAGGGGGGGCCGCAGGGGAGGACGGCGUUAGGCUAGGCGGGGCCGCAGGGGAGGACGGCGUUAGGCUAGGCGGGGCCGCAGGGGAGGACGGUGUUGGGCUGGGGGGCCGCAGGGGAGGACGGCGUUAGGCUAGGGGGCGGCAGGGGAGGACGGCGUUGGGCUAGGGGGGCCGCAGGGGAGGACGGCGUUAGACUAGGGGGCCGCAGGGGAGGACGGCGUUAGGCUAGGGGGCCGCAGGGGAGGACGGCGUUCGGCUGGGGGGCCGCAGGGGAGGACGGCGUUAGGCUAGGCGGGGCCGCAGGGGAGGACGGCGUUAGGCUAGGCGGGGCCACAGGGGAGGACGGCGUUAGGCUAGGCGGGGCCGCAGGGGAGGACGGCGUUAGGCUAGGCGGGGCCGCAGGGGAGGACGGCGUUAGGC